RNAcentral lists this non-coding RNA (30 nucleotides) under Mus musculus (house mouse). Lineage: Eukaryota; Metazoa; Chordata; Mammalia; Rodentia; Muridae. The record is from RNAcentral.
UACAGCUUGAGAACGCCAAGCCAGCUCAGA